Molecule: ribosomal RNA, 253 nt
Filed under: uncultured bacterium
Lineage: Bacteria
Description: partial 16S ribosomal RNA
Rfam family: Bacterial small subunit ribosomal RNA
Source: RNAcentral
UACGUAGGGGGCGAGCGUUGUCCGGAUUCAUUGGGCGUAAAGCGCGCGCAGGCGGCCCGCUCAGUCGGCCGUGAAAGCGCCGGGCUCAACUCGGCGAGGUCGGGCGAUACUGGCGGGCUGGAGGCUGGUAGAGGGCGGUGGAAUUCCGGGUGUAGUGGUGGAAUGCGUAGAGCUCCGGAGGAACACCAGUGGCGAAGGCGGCCGCCUGGGCCAGUCCUGACGCUGAGCUGCGAAAGCGUGGGGAGCGAUCCGG